RNA transcript from Triticum aestivum (bread wheat), 1854 nucleotides. It is a transcript of the gene named AT-hook motif nuclear-localized protein 20, with no coding region annotated. The record is from RefSeq and is a predicted model, not a curated record. The transcript is spliced from 3 exons. Lineage: Eukaryota; Viridiplantae; Streptophyta; Magnoliopsida; Poales; Poaceae.
AAUUAGUUUGCAGGCAGGUGUUGAACAAGUAGAACCAGAAGGUACCUAUCAACACACCUCAUGCGCCCCCUCCAUGACAAAGCUUGCUUGCUUACUCAGCUUGCAACAAGCAAGUCUUGGUCGUCCUCUUCUACCCUCUAGCUAGCUAGCUUUAUCGACCCCCCAAGAAAAAGGAGCAACCAAAAUCUCAUACUAGAUCCAUUGAUGGGAGCUAGCUGGUUUGGUUAGCUGCAAUUUCAUGGCGCAUAAGAUCCAGGGUAUCAUGGUGAAAGUGAAACUAGCUGGGCAAGAAGUCAACUAAUCAAAAAAGCUUGCUAGCCGCCCUUGGAAGUUGGAAGUUGGAACUACACAAGGAAGAAGAAGACCAGAUCGAGGAAGGAAGCAAGCUAUAGGCUAGCACAGAGUUAGGUUAGGUGGAGAGAUGGCCAACAGGUGGUGGGACGAAGGGCGGUUGACGGAGUCGCCGGCAGCUGCAUCAGGCCUCGCCGGCAACCAGAACCGGCAGCAGCUGGAGGACGCCAUGGCGGCGCCCAAGGUGGACGGGGAGAGCAGCCACAGCGGCGGAGGGAGCGGGCAGGACGACGAGCACGAGCCCAAGGAGGGCGCGGUGGUGGUGCCGGCGAACCGGCGCCCGCGCGGCCGGCCGGCGGGGUCCAAGAACAAGCCCAAGCCGCCCAUCUUCGUCACGCGGGACAGCCCGAACGCGCUGCGCAGCCACGUGAUGGAGGUGGCCAGCGGCGCGGACGUCGCCGAGUCCAUCGCGCACUUCUCCCGCCGCCGGCAGCGCGGCGUCUGCGUGCUCAGCGGCGCCGGCGCCGUCGCCGACGUCGCCCUGCGCCAGCCCGCCGCGCCCGGCGCUGUCGUCGCGCUCCGCGGCCGCUUCGAGAUACUCUCCCUCUCCGGCACCUUCCUCCCCGGGCCCUCGCCGCCGGGCUCCACCGGGCUCACCGUGUACCUCGCCGGCGGGCAGGGGCAGGUGGUCGGGGGCAGCGUCGUGGGCGCGCUCACCGCCGCGGGGCCCGUCAUGGUGAUCGCAUCCACCUUCGCCAACGCCACCUACGAGCGGCUGCCGCUGGACGACGCCGAGGAGGAUCACCAGCUAGAGGCCGCCCGCAUGCACGGAGCCCCCGGCGGUGGUGUCCCUCCGAUGAUGGCCGGCGACCCCUCCGCCGCGGGGAUGCCGAUGUACGGCGUGCCGCCGAACCUGAUGCCUGGAGGCGGUGGGCAUGCGGCGCCGGAAUGGGCGGCGCAUGCACGGCUGCCCUACUAGCUACCUAGCACCAUUCAAUCAGGAGUAGUCGACGUUUCCAAGCAUCAAGAUCAGCUCCCCUCAUCCUCAUCGAAAUCCAUCCUACCAAUAACUAGACUUGCAUUGCAUAUAUUUAGCAGCUGGUUGAUGUUGCCAUGACUGCACAAGGUGGCCAUGUGUAGUCAUUUCAUCAAGUUUAUGGGACUUCUUUAUUCUCCUGAUCCCCAAAGAUAGGAUUAGGAAAGACACGAGAAUUUGGUAUAAUGAAAUGUUUUUUAACAUGGUUGUGUUUUUUUUAGUUCGAAGUUUUUUUGUUUUUGAGGGUGUAUGGUUUUGUAGCACCAAACAAUGAAAAAAAAAUUGUGCUUCAUUCUACCUCCCGAAGAAAGAAAGGGCGUCCUCGCGUAGCCGCCAGAAGCGUCUUCUUCUGUCGCCGUCCUCCGACGACUCCCCUCGCCGAAGAUCUCGGUCGUCAGUGGUGAGGGGGGUCGCCGGAUCCACGCGUGUGGAUAGUUUAAGCCAUGGUAGCUUAGGUUUUUAGGCUGUUCAUCUUGGCUUCGGCGACGAUGAUGGCGACGCUAAAUAAAGAAUCUUCAUAUCCUUCC